RNA transcript from Mustela lutreola (European mink), 4278 nucleotides. It is a transcript of the gene named C-X9-C motif containing 1, with no coding region annotated. The record is from RefSeq and is a predicted model, not a curated record. NCBI's taxonomy places the organism in Eukaryota, Metazoa, Chordata, Mammalia, Carnivora, Mustelidae. The transcript has 6 exons.
GGCGGAAGUAGUGACUAGGGAAAUAAGAAGGAAGGAAAGAGGCCUGCUGGGCUCUGUAGAGGGCACGGCGCUCCUCCUCCACCGCCGCCUCCUCUUCCUCCCGUGGGAAGCUCCUGGCGGCCGCACGUGCCGCCCAGCCCAGGCUCCUCCCCUCCCCUGCCCCCGCCCGGGAGCGGCCAGGCGCUGCUUUCUCUCCGCCCGCCGAGAUGGCGCUCGACCCCGCAGGGCAGCAUCUCAGACAUGUUGAAAAGGAUGUUUUGAUCCCUAAAAUAAUGAGAGAAAAAGCCCGAGAGAGAUGUUCUGAACAAGUUCAAGAUUUUACCAAAUGUUGCAAAGACUCUGGAAUCCUUAUGGUAGUAAAAUGCCGGAAAGAAAAUUCUGCAUUGAAAGAAUGCCUAACUGCUCAUUAUAAUGAUCCAGCCUUUUAUGAAGAAUGCAAAAUGGAAUACCUGAAGGAAAGGGAAGAAUUCAGAAAAACUGGAAUUCCUACCAAGAAAAGGCUACAGAAGCUUCCCACAAGCAUGUAGGUGUGUCCCUGCUCUGCUUAGGAAUAGGUUCCAUUUGGGCAGAAUCUCCAUUUCCUUUUAAAGAUGAUGCAGAUUUUAUUUUCACUGAUAGGAGACCAAGAGGAAGGAGAGAUUGUACUCCCUGGAGUCAGCUGUGUUCAUUGGUCAGAAUAAAUUCCAGCAUCUGACACCAAUUCCAUUAAUCACAGACAAGCCUGAAUAAGUGAGUAAGAUAAUAGAAAGACAGAGAAAUAUCUGGUGAACGGUGAACAUUGUUUAUGUAUGUAUGCUAUUCAGUUAAUAUAGAAGAGAUCUGAGAUACUCUUUUGAGUUCAAGAUAUUUGAAACUGUCUAUCAAAAAGGAUAAAGGCUUCCUACAUGAAACACUUUAUCUCAGGGAAAAGAUGUAUAAGCCAACUAAUAUAUUAUAUUACUAAUAUGUUAAUAUCACCAUCCUGUAAGAAUUUAGAUAGAUUUGUGUGAAGCCAUCCUUGUUAUAUGCUUGUUUAUAAAUGAUAGACCACUAAGAAUCAAAAAGUCUGGGGACAUUUCAUGAUUGUACUAGAUCAAUACAGCACAGAAUUUGGUUUACAGAAUUACAAUUCCUAAUUUGGUUAAUGAAAAAUCACUAUCUUAAUGAGUACAAUGUUACAUUUCAAAUAAACUAGCAAUUUAUAAGUUGCUCUACAUAACCAUCAGGUACAGACCCUGAUGAAAAUGACUUUAUCCAGUUACAUACUUAGAUUUUCAUUAUGGACCACUGAUGGCACAGAUUUAGACUAAAACCUUUGUGGUACUCUUUCUGCUUCUCAUUGAAUACUAUAGAAUUAUAAUAGUUCACACACAUUUUCACUUUUCAGUUAGGAUUUGAGGAAUGUAUAGGACAAGGUUGGCUUUGAUGAUCAGGUUAUUUCAAGUUUUAACACUGUGAUUAAAAAAAGUCUUAAACUUUGAAAACAUAAUAGCAUACGGAGAUGGAAUAACCUGUAAGAGAUGCUAUUAUUUAACUAUAACACUUUUUGUCUUUAUUCAGUAGGUCAACAGAAACAUAACUUACUCAUUUUGCCAUUUGCUCUUUUUUGCAACUUAAAGCAACUUCUAAUUUGUCUCAUAUUAAUGGCUUCUUAUUUUUACGAAUGGAUAUUUAGGCAUUUCACAUGCUUUAUAAAACCAUGUCCAAGAAAUUUUAAUUCCAUUCUUUAUGUGAGGCUGUUAUUUACAAUUACUAUCAAAGGUAAAAUUGUCUCUUUAAAACGCCUUAAGCUUAUUUAUUAGUAAGUAGCAUAUGUCUGAUUCUUAGCCAGAACGUGAAGCUGGACGGUGCUCUUUCACAUUGGAAAAUCAACUACAUAAUGUGGAACAGUAUGUGCAAACGUAUAUACCGAAGAACUUUGCAAAGUUUAAUCAAAAUCUGCUUUCAGUUUGUUAAAUAAUUUCUUGAGAGUGCCACUGAGGGAGAUACAAUAACCUCAUGACCAAAUCAUGAAUCUCUUCAGAAUUAAUUCUUAAAAAGACAGUUUUGAUUAUGUUGAUCCAAGUAAUGCAGUGGUGGCAGGUUGGGUAAAGGCAAAGUUUUAUUUUUAGUUUCCCCAAAUGCUGUCUCACUUGAUUUAGGAGGGCUUGGGAAUACCCAAGAAUUAUCUUCCAGAGAAUUUCUGCCAUAAGAGCUGUGUUCCUGAAAGUUAGGACCAUCAUGAAGAACGGAUCGCUCAUUAUCUGUCCAUGAUUGGAGAAUUGCUUUCUCUGAUAAAACCUUUAUAUCUCCUGGUAAAGGGGAAGAUGUGGUAUGGCAAACACUUUUGCCGUUCGGUGAGAGGGGGGAAUGUCUUUUGUAUGUUGCAGUAAAAUUCGCCAAGUGCAGUUUUGUGCUGUCUUUCCCAAGGUCUUCCAUGCAUCCUACUGGGGCACAGGCUAAAAAGAAAGCACAGGCUAAAUGUCAGUUGUCAAGGCAUUUGUGAUCAUAAAACACAUAACACUUCAUUAAUUUGGUUAAAUGUAGAACGGGAAAUAAAAUUAACAUUUCUAAGUUCGCGUGACCACUGGGGCACUGUGACUUGAAGACUGAUGAAAAGUGAUCUGAGUUCUAAUUCUGGAUCACUAUUUACUGGCAUUGUGACUUUUAGAUAGGUUAAGUCAUUUACAUCCACGUGUUACUUAUUUCCAAAAUGGACAUAGUUAUCUUGUCCUGCCUAUAUCACAGAAUAAUUAAUGAAGAUGAAGAAUUCCAUAGAAGUUAGAAGCCAAUAAAGUUAAAAUACAGAAAGGAUCCCCUUCUUGGCUUAUAGUGUGGCUAGAAAAUGUUUGCAGACUACAUGUCAGUGGAAACUAAGCUGUUCUAAAGUAAUGUUUUAUUAAAUAUAAUAUCCUUUGCUUAUUCAAAUCUUUUUUCCAUAGGUGCUUCAAAAGUAAAUUUUUUCAGAAAUAAUUACAUUGUGAAUUGAUCCAAAGGUUUUUAUGGAUAAAAGUUUUAAUACAUAAUAAUCUGUUUCUUAAAUAAACAUAUAUUUCUGCUGUGGUUACAGUAAUAGGUCAAGGAAAAAAAUGUUAAGUAUGCACAUAAUGGCUUAGAAAACAAACUGCUUUAAAGCUGUUAUUUAGUAAUAGCCAACAUAAUGGUAGUAUGAGUUUAUGAGCUUCUCUGCCCCUUCCAAUUUAACCAACUGUGGCAGAAUGCUAGGAAUUAGAACAAAGACUUGAAUCUAUAAUUUUAUAAAAAACUGAACCACAUUAUAAGCUCAUUGCCUUUUCUUCUUGGGAAGAGGGAUAGAAGAAGUAGAAGUUAAAGGUGCUCAACUUCUGGACAAGAGUGAUCUGUAGAUUAGAAAAAAAGUAGAUUUAGUCUGUCUCUACUCCCCAAAGCACUGAGUGCCGCAGUUAGGAGUGGUGGCCUUGAGCCCGCCACUGUUGUUGUAUGCUAGAAAAUUUAUGGUUCAAUAUACCAAAAGGCAUCCUUCAUCAGAAGGUACAUACAAAUGAGUUAUUAUUAAAUAUGGAAAGAAAAUUCCUCCUAUAUUGUUCUUUGGAAAUUAUUACAUUAAAAAAAGAGCCUCACUGAAAACUCCCUACAAGAUUAUUCUGUGUUCCUUUUAAAAGGAGGAACUUCCCCAUCGACAUACCUUGGCCUCAUAUGUAACCCUGGCCACUGGAAAACUCAAGGGCAAAAUGAACCAUAAAUUAAGUUGGAGCCUGCUAGAGCACUGUAUUAGUUUUCCUGAUUCAUAAAUAACUCUCACGAAACUGAAAGGAGUUUUGACUUUAGUUUUCCUUUUUCCCUACUAGUAAACACUCCUGAGGAGAUUUAUAAAACAAAAUUCUCUUGUGCCCUCUUUAGCAGCAAUACGAGGUGCAUAUAAUUUUAAAUUAGGUGGUAGUGAAUAUAAAGUCACAUCUCAUUCCUUUAAAAUAAACUUAGGGCAUUCAAAUUUACAACUUUUCAAAAAUAUACUUAUUAUGUAAUAAAAAGUGCAAAUGCACUGAUUGAGGUAUAAAAAUAGCUUUGGCAAAACAGUACUAUAUUAGCCCAAAACUCAGAAAGUGUAGUCAGCCAAGCAGUUACAUAUGAAAAGCAAAUCAAUGAAAAUUUUCAUUUCAUUGAAAGAGAUAAGGGGAUAACACCUGGUCUCCAUUCUAAAUAAUCUAUCCUUUAUGGAAAGAAAAAUUGUUUACCAAAUGAACCCAAUAAAUGCAUCAAAGUAAUUUUCUUCAAAAACAAUUUAAAGAGCUAGGUCUUUGAUAUAUUCUGUAACGCUGGAAUAAAAAAUAGCUUUCGGUG